Molecule: RNA transcript, 1954 nt
Organism: Musa acuminata AAA Group (dessert banana)
Lineage: Eukaryota; Viridiplantae; Streptophyta; Magnoliopsida; Zingiberales; Musaceae
Exons: 5
Source: RefSeq, a predicted model, not a curated record
AUAUAUGGCGGUGGGACCCAUCAGUUUGUACGGUAGAUACACUGUUGCCUGCCUUGGUCGCAACAGGGGGAGUCGGCAGAGAAGAGAACAGAGAAGGCGGUUCUUGAUCUCGGGAGAUCACCACGUUAUGCCUACUUCGCCUUCGCCUGCUCCAAUGCCCUCUCCCCUUCCUGUCUCCCGGAAGAGUACGCGUUGCCUGGUCGGCACGGGAUCUCGGAACCCGGUGAUGAGGGCAUACGCUUCUUGGAUUGGCUCGGCUCUGCCUGCACAUCGGUUUGGCAGGAGGAAGCCCAGGGAAGAUGGAACACCUUUCUCAGGCCAGGUACCUCUACUUAUGGCAAUUCAAAUGGAGAACACUAAAUACUUUAAUGAAACCGGCUAGUAGUUUGAGGAACCAUUUCAGGUUGCAUCUUGGGUUUUUCUUAUACGAGCAUCCCCUUGUCGGAGAGUAUGCUCUAUCUGAGACACAAAUGGAUCUUCUCCCUUACGGUCUAAGGUGACUCAGAUAUGGUAGGUUAUAUUGUGGGCCUUAUGUUGCUUCUAAAUAAAUUUUGAUGAUCAGAAAAGAACAUAUGGAUGGUGAUGGGUUCUGAUGAUUUAUGUAUUGAACUGUUGCUGAUAAGAGGGAAGGUAUUUACAUUUGGCAUUAUGUCAUCCUAUCAUCGUUGUUCAAGUAAUUUGAAUGAAUUGUUGCUUUCUCAUAAGCUCAAGGUGCCCAGCAGUAGACUUUUCAGCCAUGCAUUCAGCACUUCUUCAUCUACCAAGAAGUUAAAGUAGUGAUUAUCCCUUUGCAGCCAAACCUAGAUUGAAACUAUGUCUAAAACAUAAUAGCUUACAUGCCAUUUUUUGUGGUUUGCCAUGGAAUUUAUUUUUCUUCUGGGUUUAUGAUUCAAGGACUAUAUUUAGUUACUAGUAAUGUGAAAAUAGUGCUUGAUUUGUUUGAUUUAAGUGCUACUUUAGUCGUUUGCAAAGUAACAAUGUUGGUUGCCUUUGUAUGUACAUAUGAGAAGAGCUUCAAAUUGAUUCUCUUGUUUGUGUUAACUUUUUACUUUGAUAAAAUGGCAGGUUAAAUAGGGAACCCUUAUUUAAAUUCAAGAAAAAAGGACAAGGAUGGCGUCAUCUUGACGUCCACAGUUGCAAAAACACAGUUGGACUCGAAACAGUGAUCUCAUAUAUGCUAUUAAGGGAAGCAGAGUCUCUUUGUCAUGUAUCUAUGUAGAGAACAAGAUGAGAACAGAUAACACUCGAGGAACCAAAAGUCCUAUAUAAUCUUCCUCGCCACCGUUCCAGUCAGGUAGCGACAACUGCUUUACUGAUGGGAGAGGUACCAAUGUGAAUGAUUUAAGCUCCACCCACCAGCCUUCAUCCGCUAAUCAAGCUGAGUGCAUUCAACCUCUUUGAGAGCGUUUUGCGAUGGAUCUUUUUCAAACCUGGAUGUAAUUGCAGAACCGGUUAUUGCUUUGUGGAUGGGAAUGACACUAUAAUCACUCGAGGAAGCAGUACACAUCAGGCCUCCACCCCACUCCAAGCGGAAUGCUGAGCCAUUUGAUACAAGACAAGGAACAUAUGGGCCGGGAGCCUCCUUUUUUCAUAAGAUGAAGGUGACAUUCCUGACAUUUUCUCCAUAUAAAUCCAACCAGAGAAAGUUCCUCGACGAACAAAGCCGCCUAAGAGUUAGCUCCGUGUAUGGUAAGCAAUCCCAGACGCAAAAGUGAACCUAACAUUUAACAUUCCAUCAUCAUCCACAAUUUUUCCAGGGGAAACAAAUUAAGCUCAUAACAUCCAUAACGACAAAGGAAAUUACACCGGUGCAACCCAAGCAGUCACCAUCUUCUAGCCAACAAUACAAAGCACGCAACACCAGGGAGUGAGCCUGUGUGUGUGUGAAUGUGUGUGUGUGUGUGUGUUGCAGGCAGCCACUGUCUCACGCACCUAUACAGCACUGGAAGCAGCC